GUGCUCACUGUAGUAGCACAUACAUUAAAAUUGGAAAGAUAUAAAGAAGAUUACCAUGGCCCCUGCACAAAAUACGUACUGUCCUAGAGAGGUCUUAACCAACUGAU
RNAcentral lists this small nuclear RNA (107 nucleotides) under Chinchilla lanigera (long-tailed chinchilla). Lineage: Eukaryota; Metazoa; Chordata; Mammalia; Rodentia; Chinchillidae. The record is from RNAcentral.